RNAcentral lists this transfer-messenger RNA (338 nucleotides) under Sterolibacterium sp. It matches the Rfam family "Betaproteobacteria transfer-messenger RNA". Rfam says of the family: Bacterial tmRNA, also known as 10Sa RNA or SsrA, is named for its dual tRNA and mRNA-like properties. The record is from RNAcentral. Lineage: Bacteria; Pseudomonadati; Pseudomonadota; Betaproteobacteria; Nitrosomonadales; Sterolibacteriaceae.
UCUGCCUGUUGCCCUUGAAAUCAGCAACCAGUACCCCCAUAAUCGGGGCACGGUUGUAAUUCCGGCGAACUGGAGGCGUUCUGGACAGGGGUUCGACUCCCCUCACCUCCACCCAAGCACACCGGAACAGCAAUAAAUGUGUGUUUGGGUGGGGGUGUACUGGCUUCGACAGGGCGGGCAAAGGUAAGCAGGCAACCCGAAAGGCGACGAACGUAAUUCGCGCAAAACCACAAACGCCAACGAUGAGCGUUUCGCACUGGCCGCUUAAGGCCUAUGCCGAGGCCGCUUUAGCCUUGUAACCAAAGAAAAGCCGGCGGGGACUUCGGUCCCCGUCGUCA